AUUUAUGGCCAUAUCACUCUGAAUGCUCCCCAGCUUGUCUGAUCUUAGAAGGUAAGUAGGGUUGGGCAUGGUUAGUACUGGGAUGGGAGAGGAUUAAACAGAAUGGGUUCUUAUUU
Molecule: ribosomal RNA, 116 nt
Filed under: Castor canadensis (American beaver)
Lineage: Eukaryota; Metazoa; Chordata; Mammalia; Rodentia; Castoridae
Source: RNAcentral